GACGAACGCUGGCGGCGUGCUUAACACAUGCAAGUCGAACGGAAAGGCCCUGCUUGCCGGGUACUCGAGUGGCGAACGGGUGAGUAACACGUGGGUGAUCUGCCCUGCACUUCGGGAUAAGCCUGGGAAACUGGGUCUAAUACCGGAUAGGAGCCAUUUUUAUUGUGAUGGUUGGAAAGUUUUUUCGGUGUAGGAUGAGCUCGCGGCCUAUCAGCUUGUUGGUGGGGUAAUGGCCUACCAAGGCGGCGACGGGUAGCCGGCCUGAGAGGGUGGACGGCCACAGUGGGACUGAGAUACGGCCCAGACUCCUACGGGAGGCAGCAGUGGGGAAUAUUGCACAAUGGGCGCAAGCCUGAUGCAGCGACGCCGCGGGGGGGAUGACGGCCUUCGGGUUGUAAACGCCUUUCGCUAGGGACGAAGCUUUUUGUGACGGUACCUAGAUAAGAAGCACCGGCUAACUACGUG
Molecule: ribosomal RNA, 465 nt
Filed under: uncultured bacterium
Lineage: Bacteria
Description: partial 16S ribosomal RNA
Rfam family: Bacterial small subunit ribosomal RNA
Source: RNAcentral